GACGAACCGUGCGAACGUUAUUCGGAAUCACUGGGCUUAAAGGGUGCGUAGGCGGGUUGCCAAGUCUGUGGUGAAAUCCUCCGGCUUAACCGGAGAACUGCCGUGGAUACUGGCGACCUCGAGGGGUGUAGGGGCUUGCGGAACUGUGCGUGGAGCGGUGAAAUGCGUUGAUAUGCACAGGAACUCCGGUGGCGAAAGCGGCGAGCUGGACACCUUCUGACGCUGAGGCACGAAAGCCAGGGGAGCGAACGGA
This 253-nucleotide ribosomal RNA is filed under the name uncultured bacterium. RNAcentral's name for it is "partial 16S ribosomal RNA". It matches the Rfam family "Bacterial small subunit ribosomal RNA", at positions 524 to 776 of the family's 1533-position model. The record is from RNAcentral.